GUCCACGCUGUAAACGAUGAAUACUAAGUGUUGGAGUAAUUCAGUGCUGUAGUUAACGCAAUAAGUAUUCCGCCUGGGUAGUAUGCACGCAAGUGUAAAACUCAAAGGAAUUGACGGGACCCCGCACAAGCGGUGGAUUAUGUGGUUUAAUUCGAAGCAACGCGAAGAACCUUACCAAGUCUUGACAUGCCAGUAAAAGCCCUAGAGAUAGGGAAAUAGUUAUACUGGACACAGGUGGUGCAUGGUUGUCGU
This 252-nucleotide ribosomal RNA is filed under the name uncultured bacterium. RNAcentral describes it as "partial 16S ribosomal RNA". It matches the Rfam family "Bacterial small subunit ribosomal RNA", at positions 793 to 1055 of the family's 1533-position model. The record is from RNAcentral.